AAGCCAACCAAUUAAUCUGCUAAUCUGAAUGCGUUUCUGCAGAAAUUUACAAAAAGCUGGCAAGAGUGAGACCAUGUUACCAGCAAUAAGGACAACUUAGUUCAUUAAGGUCCUUGAAAAUGAUUACAAUA
Small nucleolar RNA from Jaculus jaculus (lesser Egyptian jerboa), 131 nucleotides. The record is from Ensembl. Lineage: Eukaryota; Metazoa; Chordata; Mammalia; Rodentia; Dipodidae.